RNAcentral lists this ribosomal RNA (468 nucleotides) under uncultured bacterium. RNAcentral's name for it is "partial 16S ribosomal RNA". It matches the Rfam family "Bacterial small subunit ribosomal RNA", at positions 28 to 507 of the family's 1533-position model. The record is from RNAcentral.
GACGAACGCUGGCGGCGUGCUUAACACAUGCAAGUCGAACGGAAAGGCCCGGCGUUUGGUGGGUGCUCGAUGGGCGAACGGGUGGGAAACACGUGAGUAACCUGCACUUGACUUUGGGAUAACUUCUGGAAACUGGGGCUAAUACUGGAUAGGAGCUCCUGCUGCAUGGUGGGGGGUGGAAAGUGUCGGCGGUUGGGGAUGGGAUGGCGGCUCAUCAGCUUGUUUGUGGGGUAGUGGCUUACCAAGGCUUUGACGGGUAGCCGGGCUGAGAGGGUGACCGGCCACAGUGGGCCGGGGAUACGGCACAGACUCCUACGGGAGGCAGGAGAGGGGAAGAUUGUACAAUGGGCGGAAGCCUGAUGCAGCAACGCCGCGUGCGGGAUGACGGCCUUCGGGUUGUAAACCGAUUUCGCCUGUGACGAGGCGUGAGUGACGGUAAUGGGUAAAGAAGCACCGGCUAACUACGUG